This 585-nucleotide ribosomal RNA is filed under the name uncultured beta proteobacterium. RNAcentral describes it as "bacterial SSU rRNA". It matches the Rfam family "Bacterial small subunit ribosomal RNA", at positions 338 to 916 of the family's 1533-position model. The record is from RNAcentral. Lineage: Bacteria; Pseudomonadati; Pseudomonadota; Betaproteobacteria.
CCUACGGGAGGCAGCAGUGGGGAAUUUUGGACAAUGGGGGCAACCCUGAUCCAGCCAUGCCGCGUGUCUGAAGAAGGCCUUCGGGUUGUAAAGGACUUUUGUUAGGGAGCAAGUCCUGCAGGUUAAGAGCUAGUAGGGAUGAGAGUACCUAAAGAAUAAGCACCGGCUAACUACGUGCCAGCAGCUGCGGUAAUACGUAGGGUGCAAGCGUUAAUCGGAAUUACUGGGCGUAAAGCGUGCGCAGGCGGUUUGUUAAGACAGUCGUGAAAUCCCCGGGCUUAACCUGGGAACUGCGAUUGUGACUGGCAAGCUAGAGUACGGCAGAGGGGGGUGGAAUUCCUGGUGUAGCAGUGAAAUGCGUAGAGAUCAGGAGGAACACCGAUGGCGAAGGCAGCCCCCUGGGCUAGUACUGACGCUCAUGCACGAAAGCGUGGGGAGCAAACAGGAUUAGAUACCCUGGUAGUCCACGCCCUAAACGAUGUCAAUUAGUUGUUGGUUCUUUAUUGAAUCAGUAACGAAGCUAACGCGUGAAAUUGACCGCCUGGGGAGUACGGUCGCAAGAUUAAAACUCAAAGGAAUUGACGG